GGGGGGAAUGGCGCUGUAUAGGGCAUGCAGUCGAGGGAUCGGAUCGGUGCUUGCAUCGAUUACGGACCGGCAAACGGGUGAGUAACACAUUGGUAACCUACCUCCGAGACAAGGAUAGCCCACCGAAAGGUGGAUUAAUACUUGAUAGCCAUAACAGUAUAAUGCUUGUUAUGUAAAACUCCGGUGCUUGGAGAGGGGCCUAUGUCUGAUUAGCUAGUUGGUGGGGUAAUGGCCCACCAAGGCGAUGAUCAGUAGCAGGCGUGAGAGCGUGACCUGCCUCACUGGGACUGAGACACUGCCCAGACUCCUACGGGAGGCUGCAGUCAAGAAUCUUCCACAAUGGCCGAAAGGCUGAUGGAGCAAUGCCGCGUGCAGGAAGACGCCUUUCGGGGUGUAAACUGCUUUUAUAUGGGAAGAAUUUGUGACGGUACCAUAUGAAUAAGAGGUUGCUAACUCUGUGCCAGCAGCAGCGGUAAUACAGAGACCUCAAGCGUUAUCCGGAUUCAUUGGGCGUAAAGCGUCCGCAGGUUGUUAUAUAAG
Molecule: ribosomal RNA, 540 nt
Filed under: uncultured bacterium
Lineage: Bacteria
Description: bacterial SSU rRNA
Rfam family: Bacterial small subunit ribosomal RNA
Source: RNAcentral